CUGUGAACUACGAGUUCAGCACGCUCUUGGAAGCUUCGUGUGUUGGCGAGACGGUGCUUCAGCGGUGGUCGUUUCUUGAGUCGAGUGGGUUGCGCAAUUCAUGCUGCACUACCCCCUGUCGUGUUGCAAGCAGCCAAUUCCCCUGUGCGCCUCAGCACUAAAAGAGCAUUUCCUAAAGAGCAAAUUUCUCUAAAAGAGCUUCACGGGUGUGUCUUUGUAAAGACGUGAGGAUCAUCCUUAUAAGGAUGCUAUUUCACCCAUGCGUUUCUGGGAGUGGUCGUUACCUGGCAACAGGUGAUGGUCACGAUCGCUGUCUCAGGUGUCUGGGCAUCAAGCCCGCUGACGUGGCCUUCGUGGAUAAGUCAUGUUCCCACUGCGGAAGAUGACCAUCUCAGAGCUGCGAACCAGGAACCAGGAGUCCUGCUGCCACGAUCUGGGGCUUGUUCUGGUGGCCGACAGAUGAGAAUCACUUCCAACAGUUGCACGGGUGGUUUGAGGAUUACAGUGGUGGCAAACCCUGCAGGGAACCAACCCUCUGGGGACCAUCACUCCUCUUGCACCUCCAAUCCAGUGGAGCAACCCAUGGAAUGCGCUGGGUCCUCUUCAAAGAGCGUACCAGCGGUAUCCAGUGGGCCUCCCCCCGACCAGAUGUCGAUCUCAGCAUCAGAGGGAGAGCUGUCCGAUGAAGAUUCGGCCGCGCUGCCGCCCCCCGGGAUGGUGGCAAAGCCUGAAUCGGAUCUAAAGAUAACAGCUAUGCUUUCCCGGGCCGCCAAGAGGGUAGGGCUUGAGUGGAAAUCUCCACCACGUCCCAAGCCCUUGAGGCAGGAUGAUUGGUUUCUCAAGGUGGCUCGCGCUGGUUCUCAGCGCCCCACCCCGGUGCCUUUCUUCCCGGAAGUGCAUGACGAGCUCACCAGGUCAUGGAUGGCACCUUUUACUGCCAGAAACCGGCCGGUGGGCUCCUCCUCCCUCCCCACCCUCGAUGGAGGUGGAGCGAAGGGGUAUUCUGUGGUUCCUCCAGUGGUAGCGGGUGGUAGCGAUGCAAUUGUUUCCUAGGUCUGCCUCCUGCUGGCGGGGAGACCCGGUGCUUCCUUCCCG
This is a long non-coding RNA of Cyprinus carpio (common carp), 1095 nucleotides long. The record is from Ensembl. NCBI's taxonomy places the organism in Eukaryota, Metazoa, Chordata, Actinopteri, Cypriniformes, Cyprinidae.